Molecule: long non-coding RNA, 1199 nt
Organism: Apis laboriosa (Himalayan honeybee)
Lineage: Eukaryota; Metazoa; Arthropoda; Insecta; Hymenoptera; Apidae
Exons: 3
Source: RefSeq, a predicted model, not a curated record
UGGUUUGCCAAGAGCUCACCAGAUGGAAUCAUAAACAUUAUUGUGGACGCAGCAUAAGUGGCUCGUGUCUGAAUCACAUGCGCGAUAGAAUGCAGUCGUAAUGUCGCGAAAAAUCAGUUCUCCCGAUAAUUCGCCCUUAAUUCCAUAUUCACUUGGUAAACUUCUCAUAUGAGUCAUUAAUAAUAAUUAAGAUAAUUCGACAGACAGAAUAAAUAAUGGCGUAACGUUGAGAAAUCAUUAUCAAAGUAUAAAAUGUGUUUAUACAUAAUUUCAAAAUUAAAAUACAUACUGUUAAAAAUAAACGUGGAACUGGGGAGAAAGGAUUGAGAAAGAAAGUGAAAACAGAAAACUUACCAGCGAGAGAUAUGUCCCCUGAAAGGAUGUUCCCUGGUCUUACGAGAGGAAAAGGAUAAAGUCAGGUUGUUGGCGGCAGCAAGCCGCGGGCACAGGACUGCGGUCAGCCAAACCACCUGUAACAGAGAAGAAAAAAUUCUAAUUUAUUGUCGAUUUAAUGGAAAUAUUCAGUGAAAAUAUUUUAAACUUAUUUACAGACAAAAUAUUUGCAUUUACUUUUGAUUUGUUUGAAUUCGUUAUAUAAAUUGUUGCUUAUUUUAAUUUCAUUACACUAUCAAAGAUUUAAAACGAUACGAUUGUCUCUCAAAUUUAUUCUUAUAAUUCUAUCAAACUAUUUAUUUAUGCUAUAAAUUAUCAAUCAACCUAUAAAUCAAGAAAGAAAGCAACUAAGCUCUUUCUCUUGUACCACUGAUAAAAUUGAAUUAAACAGUUUAAUACGCAUAACAAAUCAAGUACAGAUUCGGCUUCUAAUUCCUCGUGAUAAGAUGUAUAUAUGUAUAUUCAUAUAUUUCGCAAUUAAACCGAAAGUCACGGCGAAAAGAGAAAGAGAGAAAAGAAGGGCGAAUGGAGCAAAGCUGAAUGCCGAGAGGCCUGUUUUGCAUAAAAAUUAUAAGUCGAAUUAAUGUUUUCACCUCCGUGGCUCGUGUGCACCGCAUUUCGUGUCCGAUGCGUGACUAACACAGUGGUUUAUUGCAUGUUAAUACGAAUCCGGUACCACCAGUAUUUUCUCAUGAAAUAAUCUUGACUCACCCUUAUAAGCAAAAUAUGUAUAUUGAAAGAAGGAAGGAUUCUACGAAAUUUGAUUAAAAAUAAAGAAGAAUUUUAAUAAAUAAUUUUCAAUAAUG